Molecule: long non-coding RNA, 149 nt
Organism: Thalassophryne amazonica
Lineage: Eukaryota; Metazoa; Chordata; Actinopteri; Batrachoidiformes; Batrachoididae
Exons: 3
Source: RefSeq, a predicted model, not a curated record
UCCUGCUCAUCCUCAAUAAAAUCCAUCCGCCCACUGCUCCAGUAAGAGAUAAACGGAUUCUCCCCUCUGAUGGCUCUGGUUAAUCAGUCAACUGUCCACUGUGACUCUGCAGGGUCACCAGCAGAUGUUAUCAUUUUUUUAAAUGCAGA